AAAAGAAGUAAAUUUAGGUCAGCUGAUUAUGUUAAAAGGAGAGUAGUGCGUUAUAUCUUCUAGUAUGUUCCGUUGAUUGCGAUGCUUUGCUACAUAAUGCAAUGCAAAUUAAUGUUUAAAACCCUGAUUUUGCAGAAUGAUGGAAGAGAAAGAGAAAUUAGAUAGUUACAAAGUUGGAUCUUUGCCUACUGUAAUAUAUAUACCUGAUUUCAUCACAGAUAGUGAACAAAGCUUUCUUCUUAGCAAUAUAUAUGGAGCCCCUGCAUCAAAGUGGAAGUUGUUGAAGAAUAGGAGGUUACAGAAUUGGGGUGGCGUUGUCCAUGAGAAGGGCCUUCUACCUCAACCAUUGCCUCCAUGGUUAACAAAUCUUACACAAAAGAUAUCAGAAGAAUCAAGACUAUUUCCAUCAGCAAUCAAUCAUGUUCUCAUUAAUGAGUACUUACCUAACCAAGGCAUAAUGCCACAUCAAGAUGGUCCAGCUUACUUUCCAGUUGUAGCUAUUCUUUCACUCGGAUCGCCUGUCGUCAUGGACUUUACACCUCAUGCUAGAUUUAAACUAGAUCCGCAAGAUGUUAAUGGCAAAGAUUCUGAUGGAGGAGAAGAUAAAAGGCUUGAUGAUGAUUACCUCCCAUUCUCUGUUCUAUUGAUGCCUCGCAGUCUACUGAUAUUCAAGGAUAAGGCAUACUCAGAUUAUUUGCAUGGUAUUAAAGAUUGUGCGGUACAAUGCUAUGAUGGGGCUGUAAAUGAAAUGGAAGCUUUGAAACACAAUGAAUCAGAUAGACCCUAUUUUGGCUCAGAGGAAUCAGUGGAAACAAUGGGGAAGGAAGAGAGAUUGGACUUUGGGGAAAAGCAGAAAUUGCCACACGUGUAUCAACCAACUGAAACUGACGUGUGAUUUUCCGCCGAAAAAAAGACAGAACUGGUGUUUACUUUGACAUGAAAGUGACACGUGGAGGAACUGUGGGAAGAGAAGUUGGAAUUCUUGGAGUCUUAAUUAAAGUGGUAUUGGUCAGAAGGACUUACACUGAAAGCCGGAAACUUUGUGCAUUGGGGAUUUUCUUCUAGAUUAGAAUAGAUAUUUA
Arachis duranensis is the source of this 1082-nucleotide RNA transcript. RefSeq lists it as uncharacterized. The transcript has 9 exons. NCBI's taxonomy places the organism in Eukaryota, Viridiplantae, Streptophyta, Magnoliopsida, Fabales, Fabaceae. The record is from RefSeq and is a predicted model, not a curated record.